UACAGAGGGUGCGAGCGUUAAUCGGAAUUACUGGGCGUAAAGCGUGCGUAGACGGCUAUCUAAGUCGGGUGUGAAAGCCCCGGGCUCAACCUGGGAAUUGCAUUCGAGACUGAAUAGCUAGGGUACGGUAGAGGGAAGCGGAAUUUCCGGUGUAGCGGUGAAAUGCGUAGAUAUCGGAAGGAACAUCAGUGGCGAAAGCGGCUUCCUGGACCAGUACCGACGUUCAGGCACGGAAGCGUGGGGAGCAAACAGG
This 253-nucleotide ribosomal RNA is filed under the name uncultured bacterium. RNAcentral's name for it is "partial 16S ribosomal RNA". It matches the Rfam family "Bacterial small subunit ribosomal RNA", at positions 524 to 776 of the family's 1533-position model. The record is from RNAcentral.